GUAUGUAGGCUAAACUUUCUCUCUCGAAAGUGAAUUUCAUAUUGUUUUUAAGUUUAUGUGUGGUUUACCUACCAAAAUUGUAUAGUCCUGAGUCACAUUUUAAAAGAAGUUUGGCAUGCUAAUCGACUAAGAAGAAUUUCUCUAUUUAAUGCUCCUAGUUGCUCUUGUGUGUGCUAAAUAACUUGAUUGAUUAUGUCUA
RNAcentral lists this long non-coding RNA (199 nucleotides) under Nicotiana benthamiana. RNAcentral describes it as "long non-coding RNA (NBEN_LNC016279)". The record is from RNAcentral. Lineage: Eukaryota; Viridiplantae; Streptophyta; Magnoliopsida; Solanales; Solanaceae.